GUUUAAUUAGUUUAAGAAAAAUAUUGAUUUGUGGAAUCAGGGUUAAAAUUAUUAUUAGACA
Molecule: transfer RNA, 61 nt
Filed under: Arescus labiatus
Lineage: Eukaryota; Metazoa; Arthropoda; Insecta; Coleoptera; Chrysomelidae
Description: tRNA-His
Source: RNAcentral